CACAGCUGCAGGCAGACAUCAUUUCACAUUGAAUAGCCAAAAGUUAGACAUCGUUCUUACAGUUUUAUCUGGUUCUCUGAGUGUUAACAGUAGAAAGUGCACUUCAUUUUUUGAACAAAAUGGGUCGAGACCUUCAUGGAGUUGGCAAAGCAUUCAAUAUAGCACCAUUAUGCCAUCGAUACUAGUGAUUUCGUGUUGAAAAACGAAGCGAAAAGUGCGAUCAUCAUCCAAAAAACGCCGCGACGUAAAAGGCAAAGCAAUGCAUUGAUCUGAUAAUUUCGUUGAUAUACGUUAUUAGAUCAUUUUUGCGAAUGAAAAUUUACCUGAAAUGUUAGCUGGCAAAGUUUUCACUAUGCUGUCGAGUAACAAACUAAAGCAGAAGACAUAUGUCGUAAAGACAUAAUAAAUCUCGAUUGUUGUUAAGAGAUGUACGACUCGUUCUUCAGUCAAUUAACUCGUGCAUAAUGACUGCAAAUAGUAAGCUGUCCAAUCGAUGGCUAUUUCACAAUCGCUCACAGAAUGUACACCCCGGUGCGAACAAAUCUGAUUGCGAAGGAAAUGAUAGGAAACAAAAAAGCUACCUGCGACUCUCCCGAUCACCUAAAGCAGAUCACAAAUAAACGUGGGUACCUCAUGGCGGCGCUUUUGUCACGACUGGUUCAAUGACACAACGCCUUCCUUCUGCAUUCGACUUCUGGCAAGAAUUUCAUGCUCGUUACGGCGAAGUUCUAUGAGCUCCCGUCCAUCACACCUGAUCAGCCGAUGAAAUUGGUGCGGAUAAAACUCAACCUCCUCCCAGCUAUAAUAGUUGUACUAGCGGACGACUUUUAAGGCAAACUCAGGUGGAUUUAUGAACGGUGUCCUUUUCGAGAUCGCUCAAGGACUUUCUUUAAAGAGCGGUGUCCGUUAACCGGAUCAGAGUCAAGUAGGUCUUUUAAUUGUCUUUAUUUGAAAAUCUUAGCUUUAAAUGGCCAACCGAAUGUUGCGCUAUGAAAUCAAUAUGUAUUCUUUAUUACAUUCUUUCUCAUUGCUAGAGUGAGAUGUCUGGAAUGAACGUGUGACAAACAAUUUUGGCUGAGGAGUGCAAUCAUAUGUUUUGCCUCGGUUAAUUAAUGCCGGUUAUCCAAUUUGAGACCUUGCGCUGGGUGCGCUUCGUUUUGAGUCGAAAAGUAAUGUUAAGGGACGACCAGCGAGGCCGUCUUUGCAUGACAUGCACUUUGCUGGUGGUCGACCUUUUGUUAUUUAUGUUUGACUUCAAUUGUACUGUGAUUUGGAUAGGGUGGUCGCAAAACAUAUGAUACAGUUACUAGUGAAUCGAGCGGGCACGCCUAUUCCAAUAGCCUUCCGGAUCUUCCCAGCCUCAGUUAUGAACUGCAAACUCCCCGUGAAACGCUGGUUGUCAGUGGCCAUAACAACGUCGUCACCGGCCAUCACCAUGGCUCCCUAGUGCUCCAUAUGACCACAGCCUCCAAGCAUCUACCUAUCUGGGUCUUCCCAUUGGUUAUAGUAUUCAUAGCAUACGUCGUUACCUGACCUCAUCCACGCUGAUCUUAACGAACCACAACAUCCAUCGCAGUCGCGCUCCCAUAACGUGCACGGCUCCUGUGAAACAAAGCCUCAAUGCUCUUUUACGCAAACCGGUACAUCGUCUCAACCAGGACCCGGUGUCUUCCACUGAGCAAAGACAGCACAAAGAACUCCUCAUCUUCAAGAUCACUCACAAAGACUCCAUUGCUCCAGUGUUUACUGUUGUUUAUUUUAGUUCAGCUUUCGCUCUGUCAAAAUUAAAGGCGGUAACGGUAGUACGAGAAGUGAAAAUAUAAACAAUGCACUGCACUUUCACCGAAAAUGAAAAAACCAGCAAAACUCACUUGGAUUGUCUGAGUAAGGCACUUCGAAUUGCCCGAACAGACUAGAAUCACAGUAUUGCCGGUUAGAGAAACACGUAAGCGGCUUACAAACGAUAUUACACAAAAAAAUUGGCAAUUUGAUCAAUAUGUUACAAAAUCAAUGUAACAAAAACAAAACUAAUUCGAACUAGCGCGACGUGUCCGAUGUUUUUAUGCACUUAUUCUUCGCGUUUCGUUCUCUCAUUGCUUCAGCACACAUUUAUUUAACUUAUCGAAGGGCGGAUUUUUAUUUUAUUGUGAACUAUUCGUUUCAGUAUUUUCAAAACUAAAUCAGUGUACAAAGGCGAAACAUACAGGGAACUGUUAAUUGCCUAGCUUUUGGUUACAGCAAACUGACAUAAAGUGAACAGUUACCCAAACGUGAGGAAAACAGAAAAAUAUGAACUGAGACGAAACUACUCAGUUUCGUUAAUCAAUGUUACUCAUUUUUUGACAUUUUAAAUCAAAAUACGGAAGUGAGUACUUUCUUCUUAAUUUAGAGUAAAAUUUAACGAGCGUGCAUAAGCUUUUCGCGAUUUUUACCGCGCCAUUUUUACCACUUUAGCCAGAAAAUCACAAAAUAGGUAGAGCACGAAAUUUAGCUUCUGUAACGAAACACCAGUGCUACCAGAUUUGAAGGUCUUUCGUUAAUCAAUGAAGGUUUCGUUAAUCAAUGAAGGUUCUUCAUUCACUUUGGAUUUUGUACCUUUUUCACUAUUCUAAGUAUGUUUUUUACUAUUAUUGUUACUAUUUGUAGCACUACCAGUCCUAGUAUCCCAUUUAACCACCACGAGUGCUGUUCAUGCGCACUCGUGUGAAAUUCUUGGUUCUCAACGAUGGCGACAGUUUGAUCACCAAUCGUUUUCGCAUUAUCCUCAUUGAAUGAUACACUUCCCAUUUUUUCUGACACUUUCUGUGCGUUAAGAAAUUUUCAAACACGUGCUAACACUUGGUAACGACCUUUAUUCUUCGCCGUCAACUGCUCACUGGUGGCCAUGAAAUAGAUAAUUGUUGGACUGUGAUUGAAUGGAUAACUACUGGACUGUGAUACUCUUCUCUUUCUGAAGUUCAUACAUUGGUGUCUGGUGUAAGACUGUUCUUUAUUUUUCCAACUUUUGUUUCAGGAACUUAAAUUCUACUUAACUCUGCACAAGAAUUAUAUUCAACGGAAUCAAGUAUAUAAUGUAUACAAAGUUAGGUUAUCGUCAUGAGCCGAGUUUACCAAUGACGCGCAACACGCAUAGGUGUUGGUAAACUCCAUAACGUUCGCCCCUUUCGCACGCGCAUCAUGACAACAGCGCGACAGUGGUGCGAAAAAGGUCGCCGUAAAACAAAACAAACAGAACUAGGCCAUCUGAAAAGAAACAAGCUCAAAUGUAAAAAGUUGAAACAUAUUUGAUAUUGGGAACAUAAUAGGGAACCAAAUGCAGUAAACACUUGACUUGUUGUGUUAAUGAAAAAGAAGGUCUAGCGGUUCUGUAAAAUAAGGUUUCACAGUUCGUAAAUUAAGUACCAGGAUCAUAAAGAUCUUACAUUUUAGGCUACAUUUUGGGCGUAGGAAUGUAAAGACUUGGGAACAUUUUAUCACACACUAUUGCUUCACGUAGUUAGGGUUCCAAUCCGAUACUCAAGAAGCGAGCAUCGGCAGCCCUUUUCUGGGUUCGGCGAAAGCGAAACAUAUCGUAAGCGCAGGCUAGUCUACAAAAUAGGUAUCCUGAUUCCAUUCGAAUAUACGGGAGGCGAAGUUACUUGAUCGAGUUCCGCAGGAAUUUGAGAGGAAUAUGGUCCCAGGUGUAUCGUACGCACUGGAUAGUCUAUCGUAAUUGGCGUCCUUAAAUAUUGGUACGUCUUGCUAACGGCAACCAAUUGGGCAGCAGAUCCUUUUCCAUUGCGAUGGUCGGUAUCCGUCACCCUAUAGAAUAUUCCCUUCGCAUCACUCUGCAGCAGAUCUAAAUACUGAGUUACUAAUUCAGAACCGUUUCGAACAACUCUUUCCGUAGUACCUUCGAUGGUCGACGUCGUAGCGACUGCUUUGAUUCUGGUAACGCACAAUCCUGCGGCCCGUCCGGAUGCUUUAGAAAUGUGAUAUUAAUUUUGACAGACCUUCCCGUCUAUCCUCGUCGCCAGUUGUAAUGUUCGGCUUGACUUUUUUUCUUUACACGAUGGCAUGAGGUUUCAAGUUGUCACCACGAAAAAGGAUGGAAUGAUCUUAAAGUCAUUUAUGCAAAAUUUGACAUACGAUGUACAUUUUAUACGUUUUUUUACAUGUGCUAACCUUAAGUUUUAACAAUACAAACAUUUUCAACUUCUAACAUUAAACAAAUUACAUCAACAAAUUACCUAACUGCCCAUGUGGAGAACAAUAACCUCUUAACUUUUCUACCGCAUUAGCCUCAGCAAAUUUCAAGAAUACUUCUGACCCUGCUCCACACGUCAAUUUAAUUUCCCUUAUUUUGCACAACAAUUUAUUCGCAAAAUCGGUGGAACAUUCGUCCUGAUUAAUGGCAAAACUCGACAUUUCAGUGAGCAUUAUAUGGAUUUGCGUUGGAUCUGUUUCGAACUUUUCUAACAAAAUGUGUUUCAACUGUACCCAUGACUUCAACUCGAUACUUGUCAAUUUUUCCUUAACUUCGUCCGACAACUUACAAUGUACAAUUGUCGCAACGAAUAUCAAUCCAUCCGCGAGAGUAGCAAUCUGCUCAUUUUUAUGCAGCGCGUCUAAAACCGCUAUAAAUUAAUUGUGACUUGCGAGUUUGCCAUUAAAUGUUUGUAUGUACUCUAACUUUAAUAUUUCUGACAUUUUCGAUUUAACUUCUAACUUGGGUUCAGAUUUUUCUGAACUCAGUUUCUUUUCAAAAUAUUUUUGGUGAAAUCACUUUUUUAAUUCUCCUAAUGUGAGUAGAGUUAUAAUUCAUUCAAACAACGUUAAAAAUAUUGGAUUUCUACUUAAUUUAGUUUCUACUUAGGUUUAUCCCACUUCUGACACCAAAUUGUGGAACACUUUCUUUUGUUAUAUAAGUGACUGAUUUCCCAGCCGUCUUUUAUGUCUCAAAUCCUUAUUGCUUACCUAUCUUAUUUCUAUACCCACUCAUCUACGUAUUCUUAUCUCCCUGCGCAUAAAAGAUAAGAAAAGGACAGACGGAUUGGGCAUUAAUACGUCUCGCCAUGUAUGCAGACUUACUUUUACACGACUUUAUCCUAAAUAAACAAUGUUCGGACGAUAAUAACAUCCGCACCACAAGACCACCGUUGAAGUGUGAACAACUUACGUUGUACCACAAUUCUCGCUGUCUAACUGUAAAUCUCCAAGCAGUUCCAUGAACGAUAACAGGCAUAAGAAUGGGUCGUAUGCACCAGGCAUCUACUUUACUUCCAUAGGAGUUAGUUUGCCUACUUUCAGCCAACUCGGCUGUAGAUUCUUUUCCUCUGCGACGGUCUUAAUCUGUCACCCAAUAGGAUAUUUACUGAGUUGUUAACUCAGAAACGUUUUCAACAUUUCUUUCUGUUGUUCCUGCAGCGGGUAACGUUAGUGAGAGUAGUUGACAUCCUGAACUAAAUAUCCAGUGAAUGCUGCGUAUCGAUCAUUAGUAACGCGCAAUCCUGCAGCCUGUCCAGAUACUUUGGAAAUGUGAUAUUGAUUCUGACAGACCUUCCCGUCUAUCCUCGUCGCCAGUUAUAAUGUCUGCUUGACUAUUUUCAAAUAAUGAGACGAAUGACAAACGCUCUAAAAAAAUAUAUUUUCUCUUACUCGUCACACUGCACUACUAAGACUGAAUUUUAAUAUCUAUCGCUAAACCUUUUUGUUAAUUGAUUCUGGCGGGUCAGCAUUUUGAUGGUGUCGUCGUCCACAUUGGUGUGUCUCCUGGCUGGCGUUGAUUCUUCGUGUUGUUGCUAUGUUGCUUUUGGCUGCGUCGGCAGUUGGGUUUUGCGUCGAUCGCGGUGGACGAUCGAUGUGGCUUAUUGGGUGCAAGGGUGGCUCUUCCGUUCGUACUGAGAGCUACCCUGUCUCGUAACGUUCAUAUGACAGCAUAAGGCUGUUUGCAAAUUCUCUCAGUUUUAUCACGACUUUUUUGUUGAUCUUAAAACUUUUAUUCAAUGAUUAAUUAGUAGUUAAUUUUCUUCUUAAGACUUAUGAGUCCGUGGCUCGUUGAGUUUAAAAGAAAAAUGUUUUACUGAGUAAUUUUACAUUAAGAUUCAUUUAUGUUUUUCACAAGGUCUAGCAAUAUUCACUAGACGCAAAAUGGUUUGCACAAAAGUCACUUCCACCAGUAAAGAUGCACGGAAUCACCGGAAAACGAAAAAAGGAACUUUCAAAUUUUCUAUCAGAAAAAUUGCGCAAAGUGAACAAAUUGCGCUGAACAUCGCACCGCUCGCGUUUAUUUACUUUCUGACUUGACAGUACACCCGAACAGUACGCUAAUUUUGUGUCCAGUCAAUUUGGGUAAUAAAAGCAAUUCUUGCACAUGUAACUUUCGGGAGAAAACUAUAUUUCAAUUGGAACGCUAGCUAGUAGAAAUUCUUAUUCUUAAGCUAGUAGAAAUUCUUAUUCUCAUAAGCUUUAAAGACAGUGCCUAAGGCAUGUAGUGUCAAUACAUGUUUUUCUGUUAAUCACCACAAAGAGUCAACCUGACUUGAUUGGUUUCCGAUUGCAAGUAACGGUUUCGGUUUUGUGUUGCCUGAAUAUGUUCGAUGUUUACGGCGGACAGUAGACAUUUAGGAAGAAGAUCUGCAUAUCUUUUAUAGGGAAUAUAGGUUACCAGAAAUUGUUUAUCAUUCACUCUGAUAAAUAAAUAUUGAAAACCAUGGAAUCGUUUAGUAAAUGCAGUCAUAUAACCGCACGGAAUCACCUCUAAACGAAGAUUGAAUUUUUAUGCAACAAAUGAACUUAAUGCUACUCGUGAUGUGCAAUGUACGAGGGACAAUUCCUCUCCUUUGUCUAUCUCUCUUACUUUACUGGCCUUCCUCGGCCUAUCUCUGUGUUACAUUAGGCAUUAGUACAUUAGGCGAUAUCUAUAAAUUACGUAACGCAAAUAAAUCCAAUUUUUGAACCCCACCCGCUAUCUAAGAAAACGUAACCUCCAUAAAAUCUAUGUAAUGCAGUAUAAAAAUUUGCUUAAUGAAAAUGCUCGUUCUUGGAGUAAAAUUUUAGUCUUCCCAGAAAUGUUUCGUUAAGUAACGCUGAUCCCAACACCCCCCUCCCCUGUGUAAAAAUUCAUAACGUACAAGGAUACUUCCUCCGUUACGUAAUUUACGGGUGCAGCCUUUGUUAAUCGUCUUAAUCCUAUUCUCGGUGAUUCUCACACUACGCUGCUCGUCUGGAUCUGUAAACAAUCCGGUAACUCACCGAGAUUACACGGCGUAUCGUUGAUGGUUUUAGUGUCGCCUAGGCCAAGCGGAGGACAUUGACUUCUAAUUGCUUUAAUGCUGAACGAAAAACUGGUUGAAGACAGGUUUCUUUCCUGGGUUCUCGUCCAGCAUCCUAUGCUGUUGGCAUGGGAAGUCUGAUGCAAUUUUCUGCUAUGGAAACAAAUUUUACAUUUCAGAAAAGUUAUUCUACGUGAUUAGUGGACGUCUGGUUUAAAAUUUUGCCACUACUAGCUAGUGAAAUACUAAACGAUUUCGUCAGCCAUAGCUAUUAUUGCCAUUCUAUUCCAUUCUUAAAGCACUUUAAACCACUGUAAUUUAGGUUAAGUUUUAGAAUUAUAGAUUUUUUAGAAUCGCAAUGUUUGUAGAAUCGCACUAUCGAAUCAAAAAAAACUUACAUGUUUCAAUUGUGUUUUAUUAACACCUCAACGCUUUUUGCACAUUUUUCAAGUCGUAAGUGAAAGUCAGUAAAUCGAUCUGGCAUCCCAUGGUAUAUGAAACCCAGCUGCCAAAUAACGAAACUACAACAAUAACUAUGAAAUAUGUGAUUUUCUGCUCUGUCAUUUGAUCUUAGUUACUUUCGUGCAAAACAUUUUGAACCGUGAUAUUAUCACUACGAAAUAUUAUUUUUGCAGACCCUAUUCGAUAGCUUGCAAGUAUAAUACCAAUAUAGUUCACUUAUGUAAGGAGACAUAUAAGGAGAAGUCAAUCGUUUGAGGUUUUCUGGUAGAAUUAAUUUUUAUUUUCCUGAAUAUUGUUACAUGUCUCCUGCUGGAGACGCCUGAAGCCACCGUUCUAUGUAUUUGUAAUCUAUGUGUUAUGUACAUCGAUCAUUUAUCCAUGAUCGAUGUGCAUGCGAAAGGGACAGAGAUAGCAAUUCGAAAAGCCAUCGCUGUACGUGUGGCGCUUGUAUAUUUGAUAAACCGUGAUUAGUAUGAAAUGUUGGUGGUUUGUAUAUAUGUGUUUAUGUGGGUUUCGGUUACUAAAAGAGAACUCGAACCUCUCGAGUGUACGGUCGAUUCAAUAAUGCUUUAUUAUUUCUAUUUCUUAGCCUAUACAGGCCGCACGAUCGCAGAUCGAUACGUGACCUUUAAUGCUGUGCUCAGCAUAAUCGCCGUCACCCGUUCCUCGCGCGGGUGGCGUGAUAGCGUUUAUGCUGAUCACAGUGUUUACACUACUUAAGUCUAUAUUACUUUCCUUUGCUUAUCUUAAAAGGGGCCGUAUCCACCACACGCCCUUUCUUAAUGAAUUUAAAAUAUAGCCUUAAGUUCUAAUUUUUAAAUCUAUAUAAUGUUUGAAUUGAAAUUAGGAAUAAAACAUAUGAAGUGAAAAUCAAUAAUACAAAUUGAAAUUGGUGGAUAAAAAAAAAAUUUAUAGUUUGCAUUUAUAAUUAUUACUCUAAUAUAAUAUAUAAUGAUGGAGAUACAUAUAUAUACAUAUACAUACACAUAUAUAUACAUAUAUAUAUAUAUAUACAUAUAUAUAUAUAUAUAUAAGUAAUGCUCGAAUGGUUACGAGUAUUAUAAAAAAAUAUUUAUUCACGUUUAAGACCGAUUACAAUAGAACGCACGCUUAAGACUGACUCGAUAUUCCUAUCGCUAAACCUUUUAUUAACUAAAUCUACCUAGUCAGCACAACCAAUAUCGUUCGAUGGGUCCUCCACGUUGGUAUGCGUUGGUCGUGUCUACGUUGCCUUCCUGGGUUGUUGCUACGCUGGAUUCUUCCUGGCUCAUCAUUUCUACGGUGCAUCGAUCGUUGCGUCCGAUCGAUGGGGUAAGUUGGCGUUGGUCGUCUCGAUGUAGUUACCCUGGCUGUUGCUACGCUGGUUUCUCCUGGCUCAUCAAUUCCCUGGCGCAUCGGUUGCUGUGGUCGAUCGAUGCGGCGUGUUGGCAUGGUCGGCUGGGCUCGUCUUUUCAUAACGUAUAUAUACACAUACACACACACACACGUACAUAUACAUAUAUUAAAAUCUGUAUAAAAAUGUUUUUGUAUCAAAUGUUUUUAUAUAAAAAUAUUUCUGUAUAAAAUGUUUAUGCAUAAGAAUAACAUUUAUAUAAAAUAUUCAUGGAAAUAAUCAUUAUAAACUACUCUGGUUUCAUCUUCUUAUCUUUCUGAAAAACUGAAUGUAGGUUCUUCUCUCUCUUUUUUUUUUACUUUAAAAAUUCUCUUAUUCUGUCCUUAUGAACUAUGUCUGUAUCUUCAUUAUUUUUAAUUGCUAUCUUUACAUUUGAUCCCAUAUCUUCUAAAAUUUCAUAUGGUCCGUUAUAUUUUGUUUCUAAUUUAGGUCCCUUUUCGGUCUUCACGAGGACCAAUGUUCCUUUUGUAAAAUUUGUGUCUUUGGCGUUUUGAUUAUAUUUUGAAACUCUAUCUGCCUUUACUUUGAGAAGAUUCUCCCUAGCUUCUCUUUGAGAAACUUGUAGCUUGUAUUUCAAAAUACUCGUAUAGUCGUCAAUGUUAUAUAUUGGGUCUGUUUGGUAUUGUCCAGUUAGAUUUGAAGGAAGGGUGCAAAGUCUUCCGAAAAGCAAUUCGAACGGAGUCUUACCUGUUGCACUAUGUACCGUUGUAUUAUAGGCAAAUUUGUAAAACGGUAUCCAGGCAGACCAACUUCCAUAAGAGUUGUUCGUUUGUAUGCGUAGAAAAUUUCCAAGAACUUUAUGCGAAUUUUCCAACGCUCCGAUUGUUUGAUGGUGGUAAGCUGUGGAAUUCAGCUUCUUCACCUGUAAUAGUUUACAUAUUUUUUCAAAUACAGUAGACAUAAAUUCGGCACCUCUAUCUGUUAGAACCUGUGCUGGUACACCAUAAUUCAAAAUGACAUUCUCAACAAACGCUUUGGCCACGGCAUCUGUUGUCUUGUCCAUAAUAGGUGUUGCGGUCACAAAUUUCGUCAGAUCACAUUGAGUAGUCAGUAUAUACUGGUUACCUUCUGCGUCCGGCAAUAAUGGACCUACCAUAUCCAGAAAUAUUUUUUCGAAAGCUUGACUAGCUGUGCUUGUCAGCUGCAUUGGUUGUUUAGUGUAAUGGCUCUUGUUUCUCUGACAAUGUGUACAUCUCUUUAUAAAUGAAACAACAUCGUUAUCUAAGGUUUUCCAAUGAUAUCGUUGUUUUAUAGUAUUAAUUGUUCUUCUUAUUCCUGCAUGCCCUGCAGUUGGCAAUACAUGGAAAUCGUUUAUAAUAAUUUUUUGUUCAUUUCUAUCGUCUAUUUGGCGAGUAUUUCUGCCUAAUAUAAUUAUAGGCGGCAUGCCUUUUAUAUCGAGGACUUCUAUUUUGUCCUUGAAUUUUUUAUUUUCAAUCGUAUUUUUAACGAUUAGGCCUUUUAUUUUGGUUUCUUUGAUAAGAUCCACUAAUCGGUUCAUUACUCCCCGUAGGUGAGUCAAUGUCGUAUUAGGGUCGAUACAAAAAAUACCCUGCUCUAAUUGAGCUUCUAGCGCUUCAUUUUUCUUCAUGGAUCCAAUUUUAAUUUCAAUAUAAUUAUUCGGUGUAUCAAUCUUAACCGAUGUAUCAGACUGUAUUUUCUGUUUCGCGGUUUGACUUCUGGUACAAAUAAAAGCUGUACCUGCUGGUGUUAGAGCCUUAAGAUCUUCGAUCGAAAUACGUGAUAACGCGUCCGCUACUACGUUUUCCGAGCCCUUUUUGUAUAUAACGUCAAACUUAUAUUCCUCUAGAGCCAAACGGAACUUGGUUAAUCGGCUUGAAGGAUCAUUUAGUGUAAAUAAAUAAACUAAUGGGCGAUGGUCUGUAAAAAUUUCAAAUUUCCUGCCAUAUAAAUAUGGUCUGAAAUGGCGUAUUGCCCAUACGACGCCUAAUAACUCCUUCUCGAUAGUGCUGUAAUUCAGUUCAGCUUUAUUCAAAGCCCUACUCGCAAAUGCGAUGGGUCUAGUGUUUUGAUUACUUAAUACUGCUCCUAAAGCCUUUCCCGAUGCAUCUGUGUGCAAGGUAAAAAUAUUACUCUCCGAAAAAUUCGGGUAAUCGAGGACUGGUGGAUUCAUGAAACACUCCUUCAAGUAUUGAAAGGAUCGUUCACACUCCUCUGUCCAUUUAAAAUCUUCAUUUUUUCGAGUUAAUUUAUUUAAAGGACUACAAAGUUUCGCAAAAUCCUUAAUGUGCUUACGGUAAUAGUUCCCAAAAGCAACGAACCUUUUUACCUCAUCUGCGCUUCGUGGACUACUCCAUUGUUUUAUUAUUUCAAUUUUUGAAGGAUCGGGUUUUACUCCUUCUACAGAUACCAAAUGUCCUAAAUACAACAAUUCGGUUUUAAAAAAAUUGCAUUUUUGCGGAUUGAGUUUUAAAUUUGUUUUACGUAAACGUUCGAAAACAUCUGAAAGGUUUCUAUUGUGCUCUUCCAGAGUCUUUCCAAAAACAAUAAUAUCAUCUAAAUAAACAAGACAUCUCUCCAUAUUUAGGCCUGACAUGGCUACGGUCAUUAAUCUUGAAAAUGUUGAAGGACUCACUUUUAAUCCCAUAGGAAGACGUGUCAUUUGAUAUUGUCCUCCGCUGGUACCAAAAGCGGUAAUUGGUCUAUCUUCUGGCUUCAGUUCACAUUGGUAAUAUCCUUGUGAAAGAUCCAAAUGAGAAAAAUAUUUCGCUCCUGCUAGCGACUCAAUCACUUCUUCUAUGUUAGGAAGUGGAAACUUAUCAUCUUGCAAUGCGUUAUUCAAUUUGCGGUAGUCUAUGACCAACCUCCAUUUUCUUUCAUCCUGAGCUGAUUUCUUGGGAACCAGUAAUAAAGGACUAUUCCACUCAGAAAUAGCGUUCCCAAUGAUAUUUUCGCUCAACAUUUUGUCUACUUGUCUCUGUACUUCUUCCUUGUGAGCUUGUGGUAAUUUAUAUGGUCUGGUAUAUACAGGAUGUGUAUCUGGCUUAACAGUAAGCGAGGGUUGAUAAAUUUUCGUCACUGUUAAUUUGUCAUCUUUCAAACAAAAAAUGUCGUUAUAUUUCAUGCACAAUCUUUCUAUCACUGGUCUGUCCUUGUCAUGGAUUUCAGUCAGUUUUAAUUCUGACAAAAGUUCUUUCGUUCUAGCAACAUUAUAUUUUGAUGCACCGUCAAUCUCAAGUAUAUCAUAAUUUUUUAAAGGUUUUGCUUGAGGUUUUAAAUUAUCAACCUUCACAGCUUUAUUUUUUAUGUUCAGUAUCCUAACAGGAAUUUUUCCUUUUUCAGGUUUUACAAUUGCUCCUGCAAUGUAUACUUGUGGUUGUAUCUCCUGAUUUAGAAUAACCAUUUGUUCUGAGAAACAAGUUUCAACAAAAGCAAUCACUUCAGUUCGUGGAGGAAUUAUGAAAUUUUCCUCAAAUCGGGGGAUUCUUAAUGUCAUUUUAGAAUUUUCAAAAUUUAUCUUUGCUCCAAACUUUUUCAAAAAGUUGGUUCCAAUUAAACCUAUGACAUUGGAUGGUAGCUCAUCCAUAAUGUGAAACGUAAUCGGGUACAUGUAGCCAUUAUAUUCUGUAAAAGUAUCUAUUGUACCUAGUGUAGUGGUUACUCCAUUUACACCACUUACUUCAAUUAUCCGUGAUUUGUCAAGAUAUGAAUUUAAGUUUUUCGUUAAAUGACGCUUAUCGAGUAGACAGCAUGAAGCUCCACUGUCCACUACUAAAAGAAAAUUAGUGUUAUCUAUUUUGAAAUUCAAUCUUAGAGCUCUCUCGCCGCUAAAAUUACUCACGAAAAAACUCUCUUACAUUUGCUUCUGCUCGGGGUUGUUGCUCUUGUGGUUCCUCCGCCACAUUUGCAUUUCGUCUCUGGGGAUUAUUAUUAUUGUUGUUUUAUUUAUCGACACUCCAUUGCAGUCAUAGGCUAUAAGAGCACAACGGGUUGCAGUCAGGUGUCUGUACAAGAGAAAUUGUUGUUUUAUUUAUCGACCACAAGUAAUUGAAUAACUACCACGCACAAUAUUAAGAUUAUUUUCGCCUCGUGGUCUGCAUGGAACUCGCUAUGGACAUCCAAGGUGUUUUGUAUAUUCACCUGUGGAUCUCCAUUGUUUUGUACUAAUUUAGAAUUAGUUUUUCCUAUCUUUUUCACUUAGCUCUUGUUGUUUAAAGUCAUUUGUUGAUAGCAAUGUAGAGAAGUGUACAUGGGCACUCACUAUUGUUGGGGUUGAGUAAUAAACCGCAUUGUAGUCAUUUCGAGCACUAUUUUGCAUUCUGUUCGGCACUGUAUUGUUUAGUAAUAAGUAGUAUGCGCGGCAGAUUGGCGGGGGGGGGGGCUGCUCGUUUUUUGGUUGCAAUCACUAAUGCUUCGUUUUGCACUAAGUAGCUGAUAAAAUCAUUUCAACCACAUCGAUUGGUAUAGGCCAAUUACAGUUCAGAAAGGAGCCUCGUGGCGACAUUUGAAACCACGAUUCAGUUUGUGUUUAAUACGCAAAGUACAUAGGUACUAAGCGAUUCACUUAGAUUAUACUCUUAUGAAAAUGCACCGGAAUGAACAUGAAUGAUCACUUUUUGUUUUGUUUUUUUUUUGUCUGUAAUUAACCGAUAAAGCACGGCCUUCACCGUUGAUGACACAAACUGUUUUUCGCCAUGCUUUUAUUUAUUGCUUCACUGAGGCUGAGCGUACAACGCAGUAUUUUCAUUUGCUUCACUAAUUAACUGGACUGGUGUUAAUCUGCAUGAUUGGAGAAGGCGAUUGAUACUGUACUUAACAUGAGCGUACUGUGUACGCUCAUGUUAAGAGUCACCUCACUUACUUACUUUCUUGAAGACACAUCACACAAUCCCACCGCUGUCGCCACUCUAUGUACCGCUUUGUGUCCUGGAUUUUUCGGAUCCUGUACGUGCACCCUGCACAUACAGAACCACUCGAGACUUAAGCGGUAGAUUGGAAGUUUUUUUUACACAAAAGCUUGAAUACUACCCUAUAGGUAACUCAGAGCUCUGGCUAGGCAUCGCGAAGGGCCAAGUAUUUUGCCAAUGUAAAUUGUUUAUCAUUCACUCUGAUAAAUAAAUAUUGAAAACCAUGGAAUCGUUUAGUAAAUGCGGUCAUAUAACCGCACGGAAUCACCUCUAAACGAAGAUUGAAUUUUUAUGCAACAAAUGAACUUAAUGCUACUCGUGAUGUGCAAUGUACGAGGGACAAUUCCUCUCCUUUGUCUAUCUCUCUUACUUUACUGGCCUUCCUCGGCCUAUCUCUGUGUUACAUUAGGCAUUAGUACAUUAGGCGAUAUCUAUAAAUUACGUAACGCAAAUAAAUCCAAUUUUUGAACCCCACCCGCUAUCUAAGAAAACGUAACCUCCAUAAAACCUAUGUAAUGCAGUAUAAAAAUUUGCCAAAUGAAAAUGCUCGUUCUUGGAGUAAAAUUUUAGUCUUCCCAGAAAUGUUUCGUUAAGUAACGCUGAUCCCAACACCCCCCUCCCCUGUGUAAAAAUUCAUAACGUACAAGGAUACCUCCUCCGUUACGUAAUUUACGGGUGCAGCCUUUGUUAAUCGUCUUAAUCCUAUUCUCCUACGAGCGGUGAUUCUCACACUACGCUGCUCGCCGAGAUUACACGGCGUAUCGUUGAUGGUUUUAGUGUCGCCUAGGCCAAGCGGAGGACAUUGACUUCUAAUUGCUUUAAUGCUGAACGAAAAACUGGUUGAAGACAGGUUUUUUUCCUGGGUUCUCGUCCAGCAUCCUAUGCUGUUGGCAUGGGAAGUCUAAUGCAAUUUUCUGCUAUGGAAACAAAUUUUACAUUUCAGAAAAGUUAUUCUACGUGAUUAGUGGACGUCUGGUUUAAAAUUUUGCCACUACUAGCUAGUGAAAUACUAAACGAUUUCGUCAGUCAUAGCUAUUAUUGCCAUUCUAUUCCAUUCUUAAAGCACUUUAAACCACUGUAAUUUAGGUUAAGUUUUAGAAUUAUAGAUUUUAUAGAAUCGCAAUGUUUGUAGAAUCGCACUAUCGAAUCGAAAAAAACUUACAUGUUUCAAUUGUGUUUUAUUAACACCUCAACGCUUUUUGCACAUUUUUCAAGUCGUAAGUGAAAGUCAGUAAAUCGAUCUGGCAUCCCAUGGUAUAUGAAACCCAGCUGCCAAAUAACGGAACUACAACAAUAACUAUGAAAUAUGUGAUUUUCUGCUCUGUCAUUUGAUCUUAGUUACUUUCGUGCAAAACAUUUUGAACCGUGAUAUUAUCACUACGAAAUAUUAUUUUUGCAGACCCUAUUCGAUAGCUUGCAAGUAUAAUACCAAUAUAGUUCACUUAUGUAAGGAGACAUAUAAGGAGAAGUCAAUCGUUUGAGGUUUUCUGGUAGAAUUAAUUUUUAUUUUCCUGAAUAUUGUUACAUGUCUCCUGCUGGAGACGCCUGAAGCCACCGUUCUAUGUAUUUGUGAUCUAUGUGCUAUGUACAUCGAUCAUUUAUCCAUGAUCGAUGUGCAUGCGAAAGGGACAGAGAUAGCAAUUCGAAAAGCCAUCGCUGUACGUGUGGCGCUUGUAUAUUUGAUAAACCGUGAUUAGUAAUUGAAUAACUACCACGCACAAUAUUAAGAUUAUUUUCGCCUCGUGGUCUGCAUGGAACUCGCUAUGGACAUCCAAGGUGUUUUGUAUAUUCACCUGUGGAUCUCCAUUGUUUUGUACUAAUUUAGAAUUAGUUUUUCCCAUCUUUUUCACUUAGCUCUUGUUGUUUAAAGUCAUUUGUUGAUAGCGAUGUAGAGAACGUGUACAUGGGCACUCACCAUUGUUGGGGUUGAGUAAUAAACCGCAUUGUAGUCAUUUCGAGCACUAUUUUGCAUUCUGUUCGGCACUGUAUUGUUUAGUAAUAAACCGCAUUGUAGUCAUUUCGAGCACUAUUUUGCAUUCUGUUCGGCACUGUAUUGUUUAGUAAUAAGUAGUAUGCGCGGCAGAUUGGCGGGGGGGGGGGGCUGCUCGUUUUUUGGUUGCAAUCACUAAUGCUUCGUUUUGCACUAAGUAGCUAAUAAAAUCAUUUCAACCACAUUGAUUGGGAUAGGCCACUUACAGUCCAUAAAGUAGCCUCGUGGCGACAUUUAAAACCACGAUUCAGUUUGUGUUUAAUACGCAAAGUACUUAGGUACUAAGCGAUUCACUUAGAUUAUACUCUUAUGAAAAUGCACCGGAAUAAACAUGAAUGAUCACUUUAUGUUUUGUUUUUUUUUUGUCUGUAAUUAACCGAUGAAGCACGGCCUUCACUGUUGAUGACACAAACUGUUUUUCGCCAUGCUUUUAUUUAUUGCUUCACUGAGGCUGAGCGUACAACGCAGUAUUUUUAUUUGCUUCACUAAUUCACUGGACUGGUGUUAAUCUGCAUGAUUGGAGAAGGCGAUUGAUACUGUACUCAACAUGAGCGUACUGUGUACGCUCAUGUUAAGAGUCACCUCACUUACUUACUUUCUUGAAGACACAUCACACAAUCCCACCGCUGUCACCACUCAAUGUACCGCUUUGUGUCCUGGAUUUUUCGAAUCCUGUACGUGCACCCUGCACAUGCAGAACCACUCGAGACUUAAGCGGUAGAUUGGAAGUUUUUUUUACACAAAAGCUUGAAUACUACCCUAUAGGUAACUCAGAGCUCUGGCUAGGCAUCGCGAAGGGCCAAGUGUUUUGCCAAUGUUUGCAUAGCGGAACUGUUUGUGAUCUUCUUCAUCAGGAACUUUUCCUGCUUGCUUUAACUGUGAAUUGUUUUAGUGGACGACGGCAGAAGGCCGUGUUCCGGUUUACACUCUACCUGUUUUCAUUAAAUUCAACAGAAGGCUUACUUUCUUCCGGACCGUACCGUCUGACAAAUUCCUACGUGAGGGAACAUUGGGACACUCACACUAAUAGUGGCAGAAAAGCUAGCGCCACUCCUAAUUUAUUUCGUUCGGCAUUUGAUGAAAGCUUUCUAACUUGAUACAUUUUUCACUUUCUACUUACUAAAGCGCAGCUAGCAAUGAAACGAAUUCUCAUAUUUUUCGCAAGGUUUUCCAUACGAACGAAUCGGAAAAAGAAUGAUGAACUAAUUUCGAGCUUCGAAGAAACUUUAGCUAGUUUUCAUAAAAGCGAAAUAUUAACAUUAACCCUCUAGUUCCCAGUGCCGCCUUUAGACGGUCUUCAGUUGAACCUCUAAAAAGCUUCAAUAAGAACUUAAAAAAUGUUUAUAAAGCUUCAUAGCGAUUUUUUCGAAGUCCGUCUAAAAAUUAAUUUGGGCACUAGAGGAUUGGCAUGAUCUAUUUGAAGGCAACUUAAAGAGUUUUGAUAAGUUUCAUGGCAUAUCAAGUUGUUUUAUUAUUCAAUCUAAUUAUAAGGAAUAAGCUUAAUUUCUCAAUUAUGAGACCCUAGAUUAAAACUAUACGUGAAAUAUGGUGAAAAUCAUAUGUAACUAAGAAGUGAUUGUACAAUAACCAAUCCUAGUGCGAGUAAAUUAACGAGAUUUAGAAUAGAUUUAUGUAAAAUAAAAGUAUGAUAACAAACCUUAAA
Long non-coding RNA from Wyeomyia smithii (pitcher-plant mosquito), 17626 nucleotides. RefSeq lists it as uncharacterized. The record is from RefSeq and is a predicted model, not a curated record. NCBI's taxonomy places the organism in Eukaryota, Metazoa, Arthropoda, Insecta, Diptera, Culicidae. The transcript has 3 exons.